GCAGCGGUGGUUCAGUGGUAGAAGUCUUACCUUCUACAAGGAGACCUGGGUUCAAUUCCUAGCCAAUGCG
This 70-nucleotide transfer RNA is filed under the name Loxodonta africana (African savanna elephant). It matches the Rfam family "tRNA". Rfam says of the family: Transfer RNA (tRNA) molecules are approximately 80 nucleotides in length. The record is from Rfam by way of RNAcentral. Lineage: Eukaryota; Metazoa; Chordata; Mammalia; Proboscidea; Elephantidae.